RNAcentral lists this ribosomal RNA (525 nucleotides) under uncultured bacterium. RNAcentral describes it as "bacterial SSU rRNA". It matches the Rfam family "Bacterial small subunit ribosomal RNA", at positions 355 to 896 of the family's 1533-position model. The record is from RNAcentral.
CAGGGAAUCUUGUCCAAUGGGCGAAAGCCUGAGACAGCGACGCCGCGUGAGGGAUGAAGGCCUUCGGGUUGUAAACCUCUUUCAGGAGGGACGAAAUUGACGGUACCUCCAGAAGAAGCCCCGGCCAACUACGUGCCAGCAGCCGCGGUAAUACGUAGGGGGCAAGCGUUGUCCGGAUUUAUUGGGCGUAAAGGGCUCGUAGGCGGCUCAACAAGUCGAUCGUGAAAACCCAGGGCUCAACCCUGGGACGCCGGUCGAUACUGUUGUGGCUUGGGUCCGGUAGAGGAGAAUGGAAUUCCCGGUGUAGCGGUGAAAUGCGCAGAUAUCGGGAGGAACACCAGUAGCGAAGGCGGUUCUCUGGGCCGGUACCGACGCUGAGGAGCGAAAGCGUGGGGAGCAAACAGGAUUAGAUACCCUGGUAGUCCACGCGGUAAACGAUGAGAACUAGAUGUUGGGGGAAAUUGUCCUUCAGUGUCGCAGCUAACGCGUUAAGUUCUCCGCCUGGGGAGUACGCCGGCAACGGUA